GCUGUGGGGGGGCGUGGAGGGAGGCAAAAGGCGGCCUUGGAUGGGGGCAGCCAGGCCUGUGGCCCAGGCAUCACGGAACAGAAAGCUGCUUCGUGCAGCGGGCCCUGUGUUCUAAUCCUCGGGGCCCUGCCUGCCUCAGCAGGUCAGUUCUGAGGACGGAUUUAUUUCUGUUCUAGAGCACCUCGGUAUUUGCUGGGACACCUUGGAAGGCACAGGAUGGGUGACAGACACUGGUUGGGAUUCCUGACCUCACAGAAGAUCUUCAAUCAUAAGCUGCAUGCUUUGUCUACACCAUCUUCCACCCAGGCGCCUGGCCGGCAGGGGCUCUGUUUUCUAAGUGCGAGGAGUACAAAUACUGCAUCAUCAUCUGCAGUGGGAAGAGGCCCCGCAUGAACACCAAAUGGCCCCGCAGCACCCACGUCCUCUGGCUUCACCAGAGUGCCGCUCUCCGCCCUGGGCCUGGCUGCGCCCUCCACCCUCUCCAUGUGGAUGCGUGCACAUCCCCACUCACUGAAGCGGAUAUUUUGUGCAGUCUCUACAGGUCAGCCCCGAGACUCUCCCUCUUGAUUUCCUGUAUAUACGACAAGCUUCCCUCUACGGGAUGGUUUCACCCUGAACCUCAUGACAGCCCCGUGAGCCCAGAAGGGAAGGUGCUGUUCACAGAUGGGGAAACCGAGGCCCCAGGAGGCAAGGCAGCAUGGCUCAAGUCACUCAGGUCUUCUGACUCCCACACCAGACUCUAAGCAGCACAAUGCUCAUUUCUCUUCUUACCUAAAUUCUAAAUAGGGGCCUACCCUCAGAAGCUGCUUCCAACUUUCCCGGCUGUGCUAGAACUCCAGCGUGGAGGUGAGAGCCAGACCCUGUCUGCCCCCUGGAUUUGUUCCCUUGGACAGCAAGCUCAGAGCUGGGGUCGGGUCUGGUCCAGAGGUCACCUCGUUGCCUGGCCCGGACCUGGGGCUUGUGGGAACAGAGGGCCUGGGAUAUCAAAUGAGGGACUGGGGAACUACAUUUAAUUUCACUGGGGAACUACAUUUAAUUUCACUGUGGUCUGUCACAAACUGCCAUCACACUGGAGCCUGGGAGGUUCCCAGUUGGAAAAAGAAAAAUGAUUCUCCCCGGUUGGCUGCAGAAACAGCCCCAGCAAGGAGCUGGCAAGUGUGUAAGUAAACACGGCUCCGGCCGGCACAGUCGGGCUCUGUUAGGAGCCGGCCCCCGGGCUGGAAGAGGCACCAGAGGGUCUAGGAAGCAGCCCAACCCUGGGGGAGAAGAGUGGGGAGAUGGCCAGUCUGUCCAGGCCUGAGGUCAGUCCCUGGAGACUGUCCCUCCCCACAGAGCGAGGGGCGGGGAGGCUCCCUCGGUCCAGCAGCCCCUGCUGGAGCACAGAUGGAGGUGUCUGUCCCUCCAGGAGGUGUGCGCCUCAGGUGCCGUCCCCUGUGCUGGGCACAGAGUGGCUGUUUGGGACGCCGGCAGGACUGCCUUGGAUGAUCCAGCGCUGGGAGUGGAGCAGGCGGGGGGGUGGGGGGUAGGAUCUCCUAGGCUUGUUUGCUAAGGGGUGGCCUCAGGACAGCCCCUCAGCAAGAAGCGGCCGUGAGAUGGGCCGGAAUCCUGCAGCUCUCCUUCCCAGGCCCCACGGCUCGGGAGCUGGUUCGACAAGGCCCAGCCACCUGUGGAUCUCCCUGAAGUCCCUUAAAUGGAUAUUAGUCUGUGGAAGCCAGAGCUAAACCGCUCCCUGGGAACCUUGCUGCGGGAAGCGGGUGGCCAGCAGGCAGAGAUGGGUUGAUUGUGCGCAGCCCGGCAGCCCGAGGGUCCAGACAGGCUGCUCUGGGAAAGGCCCCAGGCAGCGUCAGCUGCAGAGGGGGUGGCAGGGUCUCCUUCCGUCCUGGACAGGACCCCAGGAACCUGACUCCAGGAGGCUGCAGAUACUGCCGGGACAAGACUGGGGUCAGAAGCCAGGUAAGACCAGCCGGUCCUCAAAGGCCCGGGUGGGGUCGUCGGCAGUGACCUUGGCAAGAUCUAGGCUGGCCCUAACAUUAUAGCCGCUGACCACAUCUAGCUUUUAAGUAUCUGGAAUAAGACUGGUCUGAAUUGAGAUGUCAAAAACACACUGCAUUUCAAAUGCUUAUGUUUUACAUUCGUGGUAUGAAAAUACAGUUGCUAAUUUUUAUAUUGAUCACAUGUAAUAUUUUGGCUACCAUGGGUUUAAUAUAUUAUUAAUUUCACUCCAUCUCCUGCUUUUUUAUGUGGCUACUAGGAAAUGUUAAAUUACAUAUGUGUCUUGCAUUAUCUUUCUCUUGGAUGGCAUAGCUCAGAUCUCCUUGGGCCUGUUUCCUCCUCUGAAAAACAAACCUAAUGAACCCCUUCCCCCACCUGCCCUCAUUCCGUCCCAGUGCUGUGAAAGCCAGGGAGAUACUGUGGGGCUGCCCUGAAACUUCCAGCUUUGUUAGGAAACCCCGGUCCCGGAUCGAAGCCCGGAAAGCAGAGGUCAGCAUCUGGAUGCUCCAUCUGAGAUGGCACUCCCCCACGUGGCAGAAUUCUAUAGCCAGAGAGCCCACAUUUCCCAGGCCUGCGUGUGCCACGGAUGUUAGACCUGAUGUCCCUAUUUACCCUCCCAACAGCCCCGAGAGGUCGUCAAGGGCUGCUAAGGCUGCUCCGACACGGAUGUCCUCCCAGGGAGCGAGAACCCCUCCGGGCUGGGCAGCCACACGGCAGUGGGCACCGUGUCCACACACGUGCCCUCCCCCUACUCUGGCCCCGGCCCUGCUGCCUCUCCCGCAUUGCCCUCCCAUGUCUGGUCCUGACCCCACCUCAUGCCCGGACUUUGGGCUUUUUAGCCAAAGCAGUGUCUAGAGCUGCCCCUUUUCCACGUGAGUUUGGAGCAAGGGAUGGAAAAGAGGGAAGGAGACACCCUCCCCUCCCCAACUGUGCUGCCUGUGCCAGACCCUGGGCCUCACCUCCACCUUGUUGGUCACCAGGUCCUGUCCACCUCCCCUCACUGCACGGCCACCAGCCGCUCACCAUCAUCACACAGCUGGAUUUCUCAAUAGCCUCCUAACUGGUCCCCUGGAGUAGUCAUGACCCCUCUGGUCCCUUCCUCACCCUCCGAGUGAGCUUUGUAAAUGCGAACUUGACCAUUCCACACACAUAACCUAAGGUUUGAAUCCUGGCUCUAUCACUUCCCAGCUGUGUGACCUUGGGUAAGUUACUCAACUUCUCUGUCUCUGACUCUUCAUCUAUCAAGAGGUGAUAAUACACCUACACCUCCUAGGACGGUGCUGUGCUAUGAAGCUUAACUGAUGAACACAGUCAAAGCACUUGGAGCCAUGCCUGGCUAAGUGAGAGCGAUGGUGCUAUAGGUUAAAGGUCAACCCCUUCAUGUGAUGGCACCCUGUGGCAGCUUCAGACUCGUUUCUGGAUGUUCUUCUGAACCACUAACCAGACUGGAUCAGAGGACAUUUCUUGAACACACUGUGGUCUCUGCUUCUGUGUGCACAGUUCCCCCUGCCUGGGGCUCCCGAUGGCUGGCUAGCUGCCCCAGUCCCUGACAGCCUCUGCAGAUUUGGGUUAGAUGCCCCUUUUCUGUGCUCCCAGUGCUCCCCGUGCAUACAGAUCACUCUCUGAUCGCUCUCUUGUAGUCCUGUCUCCUGGUGGAGGGGGCCCGGUCCUGUUUAGUGCCAUCCCCACAGUGCCCACAGAUGACGAAAUGCCAAGUAAGUGGGUGAAGACAGCAGGAGGAGGAACGAGGCCGUUUUAGAUGGUGGCUCCCUGUGCUUCCGUGAGACUCUGACCUCUCCCACUAGGUCACAGAGCUCUCCUGUGCAAGGCCAGGGUCCGGACCCACAUACCAGCUGUCCCUGGUCUCGGUCUCAGCCCCUGGGGGUCAUCCGGGCAGCCCUGAGCCCCCCCCCCCCCCCCCCCCCCCCCAGCCUGGAGACCUGUAGUCGCCACUUUCCCAAAAGGAGCUCUCCGCCAGGGCUCCUCCCUCCAGACUCUCUGGCCCCGACUGGCAGCCAGCCCGUGGAGUUUCCGUCACACUACCUCUGAUGUUCUCCAAAGUUAGGGACUGAAAGACCCGACCUGGGUCCUCCGCAACCAGGACAGGCUCACCCGGCUUUUUCUGCCUGGCCUUCCUGGUUGGGGGUCUGAGGCCUGGGAGGGGAGGAGCAGCCCACACCAUGCUUCCCAGAGUGAGCACAACCCCCGCGUCCCGCCUGCAGGAGGCAGGGGGCUGACGCCACAGGGAGGUCUGUGCUGUGCUGCGGGGAGCUCGCCCUGAGGCACAAGGGCUCAUGCACGUGUGCCAGGCCUUACGUGUCUGUCAGUCUGCCCAUGGAGUCGUUUGGUGGUCAGAGCUCAGGACUCAUGAGUGAGGCUCUGAAGCCACAAGCCCACACAGGAAUGGCUACCUCUGCCUGGGAAAGGCCCAGACACUCCCACCUGACCACUGAUGUAGCGAACGCAGAAGGCACCGGGGAUGGAGUGGAAGAUGGCGGCCAAUCCCAGCUGCCUCCCAGCCCAGGCGGACAAAGCCAAGGGGCCCUGGGGGUGGGGGGAGCUCCCCCCACCCCACCCCUGAGAAGCACAAGGCACAGAGAACCACACACCUGAAAAAUGUGGUACUUCAUGUCGCUGAUCUCAAUGGUUUUGCUGCCGUUGCCAUCCUGUUCUGAUUUAUUGGUCAUCAGCGUCUUGAACCUGGAGCGAAAGGGGAGAAACAAGGCGGGUCUUGAGCAUGACUUUUACUCCAUCAUUCUGCAGCAAUGGCGCCAUCCAUCACCUGGCUGGUCACUGGGAGACGGGACAUUUUUAAAAUUACUGCAGCGCUCCCAAAAUGAUUCUCGGCAAAUGGCGUCUUACAUCACCCUGGACUGACAGCCGGGCUGGGCCCCAGUGCGUCCCCACUGCCCCCCAGGGGUGACUGUGACGCCUGUGGCGGGAAAAGUGACUCUUCAUUCCCAAACAUUUAUAUUUUCUAGCGAAAGCAGGAACUCGAACAGGAAUACAACCUCAGGGCUCCUCCUGGAGAGCUCUCGUCCCAUCCCCUCUGUCCCUCUGUCCACACCGUCUUGUGCCCCCUGUGGGGCAGCGGGACUCCAUGGUCGCGUGACCCAUCUCCACAGGACAGGCUCCUCUGUCACCUGGUGUCUAACGAAGCCACUCCCACCCCUCUUCCCGAUGCAGCCUACCUGUUAGAAGCCGUCACCAGCAGGACUUUAUGCGCAUAAAACAGCUUUCCUUCCACUAGGAAGGUCACAUCUGA
This is a long non-coding RNA of Felis catus (domestic cat), 5257 nucleotides long. RefSeq lists it as uncharacterized. NCBI's taxonomy places the organism in Eukaryota, Metazoa, Chordata, Mammalia, Carnivora, Felidae. The transcript is spliced from 2 exons. The record is from RefSeq and is a predicted model, not a curated record.